Molecule: ribosomal RNA, 305 nt
Filed under: uncultured bacterium
Lineage: Bacteria
Description: bacterial SSU rRNA
Rfam family: Bacterial small subunit ribosomal RNA
Source: RNAcentral
CCCUACGGGGGGCAGCAGUAGGGAAUCUUCCACAAUGGGCGAAAGCCUGAUGGAGCAACGCCGCGUGGGUGAAGAAGGCCUUCGGAUCGUAAAACCCUGUUGUUAGAGAAGAAAGUGCGUGAGAGUAACUGUUCACGUUUCGACGGUAUCUGACCAGAAAGCCACGGCUAACUACGUGCCAGCAGCCGCGGUAAUACGUAGGUGGCAAGCGUUAUCCGGAUUUAUUAGGCGUAAAGGGAACGCAGGCGGUCUUUUAAGUCUGAUGUGAAAGCCUUCGGCUUAACCGGAGUAGUGGAUUGGAAACU